CACGUAGGCGGGAGUGCAAGUCGGGUGUGAAAUCCCUCGGCCCAACCGAGGAACUGCGCCCGAAACUGCAUUUCUUGAGGACAGCAGGGGAGCAUGGAAUUCCUGGUGGAGCGGUGAAAUGCGUUGAUAUCAGGAGGAACACCGGCGGCGAAGGCGAUGCUCUGGGCUGUUUCUGACGCUGAGGUGCGAAAGCCAGGGGAGCAAACG
Molecule: ribosomal RNA, 207 nt
Filed under: uncultured bacterium
Lineage: Bacteria
Description: partial 16S ribosomal RNA
Rfam family: Bacterial small subunit ribosomal RNA
Source: RNAcentral